This 379-nucleotide ribosomal RNA is filed under the name uncultured eukaryote. RNAcentral's name for it is "partial 18S ribosomal RNA". It matches the Rfam family "Eukaryotic small subunit ribosomal RNA", at positions 592 to 976 of the family's 1831-position model. The record is from RNAcentral.
CAAUAGCGUAUAUUAAAGUUGUUGCGGUAAAAAAGCUCGUAGUUGGAUUUCUGUUGAGAGCGACCGGUCCAUACCAUGUAUGCGUAUCUGGCUUGCUCUCGGCAUCCUCUCGAUAGACGUUACUGCGCUUGAUUGCGUGGUGCGGAUCUCGGGACUUUUACUUUGAGGAAAUUAGAGUGUUCACGGCAGGCUUUCGCCAGAAUACAUUAGCAUGGAAUAAUACUAUAGGAUCUUGGUUCUAUUUUGUUGGUUUCUAGAAUUGAGAUAAUGAUUAAUAGGGACAAUUGGGGGCAUUCGUAUCAACACGUCAGAGGUGGAAUUCUUGGAUUGUGUUGCGACGAACUACUGCGAAAGCACUUGCCAAGGAUGUUUUCAUUGA